RNAcentral lists this ribosomal RNA (486 nucleotides) under uncultured bacterium. Its description in RNAcentral is "bacterial SSU rRNA". It matches the Rfam family "Bacterial small subunit ribosomal RNA", at positions 15 to 518 of the family's 1533-position model. The record is from RNAcentral.
GAUCCUGGCUUAGGACGAACGCUGGCGGCGUGCCUAACACAUGCAAGUCGAGCGAGGAGAUCCUUCGGGAUGAUCCUAGCGGCGGACGGGUGAGUAACACGUGGGCAACCUGCCUCAUAGAGAGGAAUAGCCUUCCGAAAGGGAGAUUAAUACCUCAUAACAUUGCAGUUUCGCAUGGAACAGCAAUUAAAGGAGUAAUCCGCUAUGAGAUGGGCCCGCGGCGCAUUAGCUAGUUGGUGAGGUAACGGCUCACCAAGGCGACGAUGCGUAGCCGACCUGAGAGGGUGAUCGGCCACAUUGGGACUGAGACACGGCCCAGACUCCUACGGGAGGCAGCAGUGGGGAAUAUUGCACAAUGGGGGAAACCCUGAUGCAGCCAACGCCGCGUGAGUGAUGACGGCCUUCGGGUUGUAAAGCUCUGUCUUCAGGGACGAUAAUGACGGUACCUGAGGAGGAAGCCACGGCUAACUACGUGCCAGCAGCUGC